AAUCUAGGAGGCACAUAGAACUCCCAUCAAUAUAAAAAAAGCAGGCCACCUUCAAGACAUAUUGCAAUUAAAUUUGCAAAAUAUAGCAAUAAAGAAAAAAAUCCUAAAAAUAGUAAAAAAGAAAAAAAGAAGUCUCUAACUUACAAGGGAAGACUCAUAAGGCUAGCUGCAGAUGUCUCAACAGAAAUGUAGCAAACCAGAAGAGAGUGGCAUGAUAUAUCAAAGGUACUGAAUGGGAAAAAUCUGCAGCCAAGAAUACUCUAUCCAGCAAGGCUAUUGUUCAGAAUACAAGGAGAGAUAAAAAGUUUCCCAGACCAAUAAAAGCUAAAUGAAUUCACGACCACUAAACUGGUCCUGCAAUAAAUAUUAAAGGGACUCUUUGAGUGGAAAAGAAGGGAAAAAAGUGACAAAGACAAGAAAGGAACAGAGAAAAUCUCCAGAAACGAUGACAAAAUAAGUAAUAAAAUGGCACAAUUCAUACCUAUCAAUAACUACUCUUAAAGUAAAUGGACAUUCCAAUCAAAAGACACAGGGUAUGAGAAGGCAUAAAAACAAAAACAAGACCCAUCUAUAUACACUGCCUACACGAGAUUCCUUUCAAACCUGAAGACACCUGUAGAUUGAAAGUGAGGAGAUGGAGAAACAUUUAUCAUGCAAAUGAACAUCAAAAGAAAGCUGGAGUAACAGUAUUUAUACCAGCUUUUAAAGCAAAGACUACAACAAAGGAUGAAGAAGGGCACAAUAUCAUAAUAAAUGGGACUAUCCAGGGGGAGGAGAUGACAGAAAAGUAGUGGGAUCUGGGACUUUCUUCAUCCUUUGAAUACAGCUGUAUGAAGUUAGAUCACUUGGAACACCCAGAAAUCGAUGUAAGGAUUAGAAGACGUAUCUCCAUGGUUGGAGGGAGACAGUAAUACAGAUGCAAGAUGCAUGGAAGUGAAUGGGGAAGAGAUCAGCCCAGGGGGCUCAGCGGUUUAGCUCCACCUUCAGCCCAGGGUGUGAUCCUGGAGACCCAAGAUCCAGUCCCACAUCAGGCUCCCUGCAUGGAGCCUGCUUCUCCCUCUGCCUGUGUCUCUUCCUCUCUCUCUCUCUCUCUCUCUCUAUCUCUCUCUCUCAUGAAUAAAUAAAUAAAAUCUUAAAAAAAAAGAAUUGGGGAAGAGAAAAGCUGCCAUGCUCCAAAGGGAAGGGAGCCUUUUUCACAGGGAGAGAAAGAAAGAGGGGUUUAGAGAAUGUGGCAUUGGGUCUACACAAGAAGAAAAUCUCUCCAGACCAGAGACUGGGGAGCAAGAGGAACUGAGAAUGGGAGGUUAUUUUCAGUUUGUGGAGAUAAAACUCUGAGGUUUGGGAAGUGCGUGAGUUUUGUCAAAGUGGAACUAUGGUGCAUGCUCCUGGGGAGGAGGACACUGGCUGGAGAGUGCACAGCACAAAGUGGUGCAGGGAUUUCCUGGUCACAUUGGGAAAGAACAUCCCACCUUCCUGGAGUACCUUUGGAAGAGGGUAUAUAUCUUCUCUAAGGACAAAAGAUUGUGCAGGCGCCAGCAAAUAACCUUCCAUCAGCAGGGGACAGAGGUGUUCACAGAGGGUGGAUAACCUGGUCACCGUUUUUCCAGGUUCUAUACCAUAGAUUCAAAGCACCACACAAAUGUGGGACUGUCUUUUUCUGGAAAAGGACACUGGACACAGCACAGCAGAUAGGCUCUACUCCAGAAGAGGGAAUGGAUCCAUAUAGUGCAGGGUCUUUUAAGAUUAGUAAUCUGGAGGGGGGGCAAGAUGGUGCAGGAGUAGGGUCCCCAAGUCACCUGUCCCCAUCAACUUACCUAGAUAACUUUCAAAUCAUCCUGAAAACCUACGAAUUCGACAUGAGAUUUAAAGAGAGAACAGCUGGAACGUUACAGAGAGGAGUUUGUGCUUCUAACAAGGUAAGAAGACAGAAAAAAAAAAGAAUCAAGUGGGGGAGGGGCCCCCACUAGGAGCAGGGCUAAGGCCGGGCAGCGAGAGCUUCCAGGAAAGGAAAGCCAAGUUCUUGAAAAGCAGGAACUUUAAAAAUCUGCACCAGAUUCUUCCUGGAUGGAAAGGUGCUUAGCAGGGAACUCAGGCAGAACCACAAGAGGGGCAGUGGAGCCUCCAGUCUCAUGGAGUCACUAACACAGGAAGUGCACCUGGGGGACAGCUUGCCACACACCGCAGUCGGAGCUCGGGAGAGGGCUGAAGGGCACACCCUGUGGAGCCUCGGGGAGAAGCUCAGGCGGCAGAUCCUGGCGGAGGGGGCUCUGCCCAGCUGCCUUCAGGAGCCCGGUCCCAGGAGCAGGAUUCCAGCAGCGUAUGCCCUGGAUUCCAGGGCGCGGGGGAACGAGUUCCCCAGGAAGAGGCAGAGACAAGAAGGGCACAGGACAGCAAGGACGCUCCUGCCACCAGGUGCCCCCAAGCUGUGCAGUUCAGCACCCCCGCUGACUGAGCAUCCAGGCCAGCGCGAACUGGAAGCUUCGGUAGUUACUGCGGGAGCUGACUCCAGAGCUGGAGAGCUGGCUGCCGCCAGUAGUGUUGUCCCUUGUGGUGUCUCCUGUGCCUGGGAUGGAGCGGGGCCACAAGGGAACAGGGGCCUCACAGGAAAAACAGCUCCCACUGAGCCCUGCAACUUGCAGGGUGUGUGGCAGCACCUCAAGGUGCACACACCUGAGAAUAAGCACAGCAGGCCCCUCAACCAGAAGACCAGCUGGAAGGAUAGGGGAAGAGCAUGUUCUUGACCGAGCAGCACAGGAAAGCUCCAGGGAAAGUCGAGGGAUUUACAGUAUAUAGAACCAGAGGAUACUCGUUUUUGCUGUUGUUGUUGUUGUUGUUGUUUCUUUUUUCUUUAUUUCCUUUUUUCUUUCUUCCUUUUUCAAGUACAACUCAUUUUUAGCCACUAUGUACUGAGCAAAAUGACUAGAAACAAGAACUCACCACAAAAGAAAGAAUCAGGAACAGUACUCUGCCACAGAGUUACAGAAUUUGGAUUACAAUUCAAUGUCAGAAAACCAAUUCAGGAACAUGAUUAUAAAGCUCCUGGUGGCUCUGGAAAAAAAAGCAUAAAGGAUAUAAGAGACUUCAUGACUGCAGAAUUUAGAUCUAAUCAGGCCGAAAUUAAAAAUCAAUUAAAAUAGAUGCAAUUCAAAUUGGAGGUCCUAAUGAUGGUGGUUAAAAAGGGAGAAGAAAGAAUGAGUGACAUACAAGACAAGUUGAUGGCAAGGAAGGAAGCUGAGGAAAAAAGAGAAAAAAACAUUAAAAGACCAUGAGCAAAGGACAAGGGAAAUAAAUGACAACCUCAGAAGGAAAAAUCUUUGUUUAAUUGGGGUUCCAAAGGGCGCUGAAAGGGACAAAGGACCAGAAGGCAUAUUUGAAAAAAUCAUAGCUGAGAACAUCCCUAAUUUGGGGAGGGAAACAGGCAUUCAGAUCCAGGAGAUAGAUCCCCUGUAAAAACAAUAAAAACUGUUCAACACCUCAACAUUUAAUAGUGAAACUUGCAAAUUCCAAAGAUAAAGAGAAGAUACUUAAACAGCAAGAGACAAGAGACCCCUAAUUAUAUGGGGAGAAAUAUUGGAUUAAUGGCAGACCUCUCCACAGAGCUCUGGCAGGCCAAAAAGGGCUGACAGGAAAAAUUCAGGGUCCUAAAUGAGAAGAACAUGCAGCCAAGAAGACUCUAUCAAGCAAGGCUCACAUUUAGAAUAGAAAAGAGAUAAAGAGCUCCCAAGAUAGGCAGAAACUGAAAGAAUAUGUGACCACCAAACCAGCUCUGCAAGAAAUAUUGAAGGAGGCCCUCUAAAGAAAGAGGAAGCCCAAAGAUAAACCAUAAAAACAGAGAAUGAAUAAAUAUUAUGAUGACACUAAAUUAAUAUCUAUCAAUAGUAACUCUAAACAUGAAUGGGCU
This 3901-nucleotide long non-coding RNA is filed under the name Canis lupus familiaris (dog). Its description in RNAcentral is "lncRNA (ENSCAFG00000054480.1, ENSCAFG00845030408.1)". The record is from RNAcentral. Lineage: Eukaryota; Metazoa; Chordata; Mammalia; Carnivora; Canidae.